RNAcentral lists this ribosomal RNA (470 nucleotides) under uncultured bacterium. RNAcentral's name for it is "SSU rRNA". It matches the Rfam family "Bacterial small subunit ribosomal RNA", at positions 26 to 519 of the family's 1533-position model. The record is from RNAcentral.
AGGACGAACGCUGGCGGCGUGCCUAACACAUGCAAGUCGAACGGGGGUAGCAAUACCCCAGUGGCGAACGGGUGCGUAACACGUGAAGAACUUGUCCAUCGGCGGGGGAUAGCCGGCCCAACGGCCGGGUAAUACCGCGUACGCCGUCUGAAGCGCAUGCUUCGGCCGGGAAAGCAGCAAUGCACCGAUGGAGAGCUUCGCGGCCUAUCAGCUAGUUGGCGGGGUAAUGGCCCACCAAGGCGACGACGGGUAGCUGGUCUGAGAGGAUGACCAGCCACAUUGGGACUGAGACACGGCCCAGACUCCUACGGGAGGCAGCAGUGGGGAAUAUUGCGCAAUGGGGGAAACCCUGACGCAGCGACGCCGCGUGUGGGAUGACGGCCUUCGGGUUGUAACCACUGUCGCGAGGGACGAAAAAAAUGACGGUACCUCGAAAGGAAGCACCGGCUAACUCUGUGCCAGCAGCCGCC